AUUAGCUGGGCGUGGUGGCAGGUGCCUGUAAUCCCAGCUACUUGGGAAGCUGAGGCAGGAGAAUCGCUUAAACCCAGGAAGUGGAGGUUGCAGUGAGCAGAGAUCACACCAUUGCACUCCAGCCUCCGCAAUAAGAGUGAAACUCCGUCUGGAAAACAAACAAACAAAAACCUAGAUGAUGGGGGUGAGGUUAGGGGGAUGCUUUUUGGGUUAAUAAUUCCUUCAAGGAAUAAUGUUUGGAGGACAGGGCUUGGAAAAGUGCUAAUCCCAGCAAGAGCCGCCUUCCCAGCUUGGCCCGAGGAGCCACAUCACCACGCAGCAGCCCCCACGAUGCACAGUAGUGGUAGGAAGCUUGGCCCCUCUCUCCCCGCAGAGGCACGUCGUCCAUUGUUCUGCCCUGGGCCUCGGGCACCCACCCCCAGAAGCGGCCCCAUCAGCACAGACAGGAAGUGCACCUUGCUGGUGAGCAGGUCUGCUGCUUGUCAGUCAGCGCUGGGUUUCCCCAGACACUGAUGGGCAGCCUUUUUGGAAAAUAAGAAUCAGAAGACUCCAACACGUGCACCCAAGAAAUGUCACCUUCUGCUUUACAAAGGGUGUACCCUUCAUGGCAACAGGCCCAGCCGCACAGAGCUUCCUCAGAGCCAGUGUCCUGGGAGAGGCCUGUCAUGUGCCAGGGUCAGCUGCUGGGAUUCUCCUGGGUUUUGUGUUAAGCUGGGCCAAUGUGGUGACACGGGGAACGCCAGGAAGGUGUGAGAGGAGAGGAACCGACUCUUGGCUGUUACAGCGGCUGUUUGCAGGUUCAGGUGUGGCCGAGAGGGGUGCAGAAGGGUGGGCUGCCAUCAUUUCAUGCCUGGAAAGUCACUUCCACAGCAAGAGGCCCGCUCCAUGCCUUGCCAGGCCCUCCCGUCACCGUGACCCUCCGGCUCCCAGGACCACCAGGAGCACAGGUUGGGGCAGAGGUGGUAUCAGCAGAUGAGAGUCUUGAAGUGGCUGGGGCCAGGCGGGCCUGGCUGAGGUUCAGUUGGGUCCUGAUUCUCUGGAAUACCUUGGGGAAGUCCCCGAGGAGGCAACACACUCAUGUGGGGAACUUUUCCCCUCCACUGCCAUGAAAAAAACUCCCUAGAAGGGAUGAGGGGUGCAGACAGCACCCUGGCUGGUGGCAUUUGAUGUGUCUGGGAAGGCCCCUUCUAUCCCCAAAGACCUCCCAUUAGAUGGCAGGGUGGUCAACCUGAGCACGGCCAACAGCCAUUGGGCGCUGAUGCAUGGCGAGAACUGGCAGAGGACCUUUUCUUUUGAAAUCACGUCCUCACCACCAUCUUGUGAGAUAGGUUUUACUAUGAUCCUCGCUUUCAGAUGAAGACACUGAACUCUAGUCUGACAGCCAGGAGGCAGCCAGGUCAGGACUGGAAUGCAAGCAGCCUGACCCCAGUCACAGGCAAGGUGCGCCUACAGUCACCCCAGUGCCUUUGAGGGGGAAUCACGAGAGGAGGGUGAAACCCACGCAGUGCCAGCAAUCACGUGCCACUGUGUUGAAGUUCUUCCCUGAGGAUGGGCGUGCAUUCGAUUAGAGGCCUUGUAGAGUGUGGGAAGGUAGGGAGUGGCAGAGAUUCACUUCUUGCUUCUUGCAACCAAAGGGUUGCAGCAGGACAACCACGCACGCCUCUGCCCGGACCUUUCUGCCUUAGCCUGCAGUAACUGGCUGGGCACUGGGUGUCCUGGGCCCUGGGUUGCCCCCCGCAGGAAUAUAGAGUUGCCUGUGUGUGCAGUGGUGGGUGCUUUCUGUUCUCGAUGCUCCAUCUCUGUGAAAGAUGAGCUCUGCAUGUCCCACAAGGUAUCUUCAGAAGCACAGAGAUUUGCUGUGCUUGUCCAAGAAAGCACCCUAUGUGUUCAGAGUGGCCGAGACGGGACCUCUCCCACAGCCUGGCACCAGGUCCUGGCAGGAAGCAGCCCAGUCUGAAGAACUCAGACAAAGAGAGGCUCAUCAAGACCAGGCAAGAGAAGCAGCAGUGGGUGUCAGAGCAACCAGACUGGCAGGAGCUCCCUCCAACCCCUGAGGCUGAGGGGCAGGGCUGGGCAAUGGUAGCACCUGAGCCCAUUAGGACCUGGACCCUGGAGGGAGCCGGCAGGCCCUGGGCAAGGCAGGCUUUAAGAAGUGCAGCGAGGAAGAGUCUGUGUGGGGUGGCCUGGGUGGUGGGCACGGAGCCGGGUGGUUGCCUUUCACACAGGCAGCCCUGGCCCUCAGCCAUGGGUGGGGCUGGCACCUCAGUGAUUGGAUGGAGGAAGUGCUACCAGCUUCUGAGAAGCAUCUGAGUGUCAACAAGCUGACACUAAAAGGGGGUCUGAGUGGGGAGUCUCUGCUCUCCUACACAAUGUGCUCCAGAAAUGUGCUAUUCGGAGCUUUGCCUGUGACCCCCUGCUUCGGAAGCAUUCCUGCCCAUGUGCCCCACUGAUCUCUGCUUUUCCUGGCAGCCUGUCUGGAGAACCGACCCCUCCCAGGGAAGGUCAUCUGUGUUAUGGGCGUGGGAGCAUCUGCUAUGAACUGUGUCCUCGUAAGAGACCCCCAUGAAGAGGGGGUGGCCUCAUCUGCGGCCCCAUUGGCCGCUGUGCCCACAGCCCACAGUGAGAGCAAGGUUGGCACCACACAGAUUGCCAUGAGGGAAAGGAAUAUUUAAUCUGGGCAGCCUCUGUUCGGAGGAGGUGGGGAGAGAAGGCAGUCACUCUGGAAUAUUCCAUGAACAGAGUGGAGCCUCGAAGCCUGGAGCGCAGGCAGGGAGGUGCACCGGGCGGAGAGGCCCACAGGGGCUGCUCGGUGGGGGGGGGUACCCUGGGCGAGGAGGGGGGUCUGGGAAGAGGGGUGAGGGCACCGGGGCAUGAAUGGCCUGCAGGUAAAGGCCCAGAACUGGCAUGGCCUUGGCAUCACACUUGCAAACGCUGAGGACCUAUCCUGGGGAGACCAGAGACUAGAAGGCAAGAAGGGCUGGUUUCCAGGUGCCUGCCCAGGAAGCUCCUGUGCUGUGGGCUGUGGGCGGCUGUGGAAGGCCCUGGGGCUUGAUUUAGGCCUGGGGAUGCUGGGCUGGCGGCUGCGAGGGAAGAGCAGUCAGGAGCAGGAACCACUGCCUGGACUGGACGCCUCAGGGACCUCUCCAUGGAAGAAUUGAACAAAUGAGGUGACAAUGUGGGGGCCAUCGCCAUCAUCUCCUUGUGACUGGCUGCGGUGGCUUGGGUUCUCCAGAAGCAGAAGCAGCAUUAGGGGUGCAGACGGCACACUGGGGGGUUUACACCUGUGACAAGAGGAGGAGGCCGCUGGGUCCUCCAACUACAGCUCGGUCCCACCUCCUCUCCACCAGCCCCAUGGGCGCUGCCAGCAGGGACUGCCCUUCUGAGGAGCCAGGGUUGGGGAAGGGUGCAGAGAUGCCCGGCCCUGUGCCCCAACCUCACCUGGGUGUGACCAGAGUAGCACGUACCUCCAGAAGAGGCUGGAGCUCAGGGGCACCCACCAUGCUCCCAAACUACCUCUACAAAAACGAACAAAAAACUGCAGUGCACCUCUGUUGAGCGAUAUGAUCUGAUUGAAAUAUUUGUCACGCAGCACGCCCUCUUUCUGUGCCAAGAAUCGCCACGUGCAUGUCCCUUUUUUACUGUAAUAUUUAUUUUAUUUUCUUGGUUUUUUUUAACUGGUAUGAUAAAUAUAAAAUUCAAUAAAAGAAAAGCUUUACUGCAUGCGUUUUUUCUAUCCCUUAUUUUAUCCCAUGGUUAUUAAUGAUUGUCAUAUAGAAGGGUGUCAUUAAUCGGAUUUCCCUGACACCUGACACACUUGCCAACUGGUUCCAUUUCAUUUUUUCUACAGAAACAGAAGUGAAAAGGUCUUGAAAAUUAUCUGACUUUUCACAGCUUCUUUCAUUCUUUCUAGUCCUUUCUUCAAAGAUAACUGAAGGUGACUGGUGAUUGUUGAG
RNAcentral lists this long non-coding RNA (3953 nucleotides) under Homo sapiens (human). RNAcentral's name for it is "LHRI_LNC1129.1". The record is from RNAcentral. Lineage: Eukaryota; Metazoa; Chordata; Mammalia; Primates; Hominidae.